ACAAAUGGGAAAAACUAGGCGAACAAAUGUAUCAGAAAACAAAAUGUUCAAAACACGUAUCACCGAACGUCUCUCAGUAUCUUUUUUCAUUAUAAUAGCAAUGGUUUAUCGUUGUUUACAAAUUAUACUAAAUAAUUCUAUGAAUCCUACCUUCUCAGCUUCCCAUCAAUAGCGGUGACUCAUCCAUUCCCGAUAUCAUCUAUUUUCUUUUUCGGGAGGGAGGGGUGGGUUCUUUCAUAAAUCUGUUCAUCUUCGACAGCAAUCAAGUCAAUAUUGUUUUUAAUGCGGUUAUAUUAUUUGUGCACGAUAUAAUAUAUUUUGUCGUUUUUGUUCACGUUUCACUGACCGAUCUGUCUAUUGGGAAAUCAUUGAAAAACGCUCGUAUAAUAAUAAUUGUAUACUUUAGCAGAAAAUUCCGUAAAGGUUACCUACGUGACCGGUGA
Non-coding RNA from Cinara cedri, 443 nucleotides. The record is from the annotation of a GenBank genome assembly. NCBI's taxonomy places the organism in Eukaryota, Metazoa, Arthropoda, Insecta, Hemiptera, Aphididae.